AUGCAGUUUCCAAAGUUAAAUGAGAUUGCUAUUGCUACUGCUUGCCAUCCAAAGUUAAAUGAGAUUGCUACUGCUUUCCAUCCUGCAGCUGAGUUUAGGUUGAUAAACAACUACUUGACAAGUGAUCAUUGCUAUGGAGUUGUAUUUGAAAAGAACCAAAAUGAUAAACAUGGAUUUGGUCAUGUCACUCUAGAAACUGCUGCCAGAUUCUUUUUGAUUUCUGGAAUUUCCAUAUCAGGUUAUUGUCCGAUAGGGAUUGAAGAAGCUUCAUACCAAACUCAGUAA
Molecule: non-coding RNA, 285 nt
Organism: Vicia faba (fava bean)
Lineage: Eukaryota; Viridiplantae; Streptophyta; Magnoliopsida; Fabales; Fabaceae
Source: the annotation of a GenBank genome assembly